Molecule: long non-coding RNA, 3214 nt
Organism: Thunnus maccoyii (southern bluefin tuna)
Lineage: Eukaryota; Metazoa; Chordata; Actinopteri; Scombriformes; Scombridae
Exons: 3
Source: RefSeq, a predicted model, not a curated record
GUUAAAGUACUUGUAACCCAGUAGAGAAUUGGGUCCAAUUCUAUCUUUAUUUUUCUAUAGUUUCCUUAUUUAUCUCAUUUUCAUUUGUUAAUCAAUCUGUCAAUGACUUAUUUUACACACACAGUCCUUAUUUGUCAUAUCAACUAGAGCAAACUUAUGAUUGGUUAGAGGGAGUUAAGUCCCACCCUCUCUUUACGCAGAAGUCAGUGAGUUGCAGUGCGGGUAAAACAGCAGCGGUCGGAGUGGAUGAGAAAUAGAGAGUUAGAAGAGCGAUUAUUAACAUAUCCAUGAGAUAAAAUAGUCUUGUGAAGACGUCAGAGGUGUGCGAGGGUCCGUGAGCCAGGAGUAGUAGUACUUUUGGCAUUAUCGUCUUGGCUGGGUUUUUUUGAGAACAAGAGAACUGGAUCUGGAUUCUCCCUGUGGAUGGGAGAUGGCGAGCCCCCAGUGAGAUCUCUUCUUAACCUAAGGAGUGAGGAACCGAGACCUGAGAAGAGGACCUGGUAUCUUUUUUUGCUUCCACUCAAGUAUCAGUGUGGUAGGACCACCACACAUCCGACUACUUGAAUUUUUCCCCCUGACUUGACAUAAAACAUUGACUUGAGCGCGCUGACUGAUAUUGCAAAGACAUUAAAGGGACAUUACACUCAUGGACCAUUUUUAGCUUGGAAUCCAGCUGAUAUAAUACAUCCAUGCUCGCGGCUUGCGGAAAAAAUAGACCAGACGCCAAAACUAUUGCUGCACAGUGCAAGCCGGCCACGAAGCUCCGCCCAACAGUUUUGGAAAGCACAGACAAAUGAUGUUGUCCUGUUGAUUACUGUUGAUGAGAAUUACUGAUUCGAUUAUCACCCCGCAAUGAAAGUCACCAGCUUCUUUUUCUCUGGCCACACCCUUAUUUUAUCAUUCUGCUCUGCCUCCAUUGCCAUUUGUCCUUUGCGACUUGGCUGGCCUUACUGCUUCUCCUACCUAGCCAGCUUAACUGCUUCUGCAUAAGAUACUUUUUCUUCCACUCGUAUUUGUUGGAGUUCUGCCUCACGUCUCAUUGCUUCACAACCUCAAUAUGCAACGCUAUGUUUCCCUCCAUAGUGGCAGCAUUUUGGUUGUACUACUUCCCCACACUUUCCAUAUUCAUGUUCUCAUCCACACCUAGCACAUCUUUUCUUUCCUUUGCACACCUUUGUUACAUGCCCAAAUUCUUGCCAGUUGAAAAAUCUCAUGGGUUUUGGAAUAUAUUCCCUUACACUAUAUUUAACAAAUCCAAAAUAUAGUCCCCUUGAGAUAUCCUUUACAUCGAAGUCUACAAGAACUGUUUCAAUUUCCUUUUUAUCACUCCCUUUUGUCAUUCUUUUAGCACCCUUGACUGCACUGUUGCGUACCCGCAAGUUCUCAACAAGAUCCUUCAUAUAAACACCAAGGGGCACUCCAGAUAUCACACCCUUGUCGCCAUUGGGCCUGUGCUCUCCCACUUUUACCACUUUAGACACCUUGACUUUUCCGAAAGUAGCCAGCUUCUUUGCCCUCUCCAUCUGCACAUCACUAUUACACCCAAUUAACAGAUUUCCAUCUCCCAGAAUCCUUGCAAAUUUCACUGCUCCAACUUGUGCUCUUAUGAUUUUUGUUUUGUUGUUUUAACAGGUCUUUACUUUACAGGUUUCUUUACUCCUGCCUCUCCUUCAAAUCUUUCCACUACAUUUAGUAUUGUUGCCUUCAGAUUCUCACCUUCCUCUCCCUUUUCCUCACUCUCAGUUUCACCCAAACUAGUUUCGUCCUUUUUCUUUCUCUUACGAUGAGUCGACUUCCUCCCCACUUCUUUCCACUCGUCAUCCCUCCUACCAUCAUCUCUACUUGCCUCCUCCUCACUCAUCUCCAUGCUAUUGCAGCUAUCACUAUCUGCCUCCCUCCCCGCCAUCCUAACCGAUAAUUCAGCUCCCGGUAAAAACAUCCUGAACAAUGAACACUGGAGUAAUCCUAACCCGGAGAAACUAGUUGUUUAACAAUGAAGAAAACAACUCCCACGAUCCCAUGCUACUUCACACUGUUUUCACACCAUUAUCACACUCCUUCUUUUGUUAUUGUUUUGAUUGAGAGACCCCUAGUGCCUGAAAUUUCAUAUUGUGAGUUUAAAUGUUUGGUUUUGUAUUUGUUAUUUGUACUUAUUUUGGUUUAUGGUUUACUUGGGUUUUCCAGAUGGCAGUGAGGAAAUUCAAUCUGAGGAUUUUAUUACUUUUGUUAAAAUGGUUUGCCGAUGUUGUCUUUGCCUUCUCACUGACGAGGCUGACUGACAUGUUGCUGCUCCCUCCCUUUGUCAUUGUUUUAAAAGGUCUUAAUUGUAUUGCAUGCAAAUGAAGAGAUUUGCUUUUUGCCCAUUAUCUAUUCAUAUAAGAAAAUGAACAGAACAUUAGUGGGUCAUAAAAUUAGGGAGGGGAGGGAAACGGAGAGGAGGGGUGAGAGACAGACAGUGAUGAUCAGUAGAUACUGAAUAAAAGAGAACGGGCAGCUUCACACUAUGAUGCUGUAGUGUCUCUUUGAGAUUGUACUAAAAACAAUCCUUUCACCCCCAUGUCUAAACUGUGUGAGUGUCAGUAUGUGUGUAUGUAAUACUGUAGGUCAAGGCUGAUAAUUAGUGUGAUUACUGCAAGCAAUCACACUAUUGUAGCAACUUCCAAUGGUAGCAGCAGCAGCAGCAGCUGGCAGCAGCUAUCUACAACAGCUGGCACAUGUCUGCCUGGACAGUGGAGUAUGAUUUUUCACCUGUCUUCACACAGCAAAUCAAUAGGUCAAUGAGUUCCUUUUUGCUUUGCUUGGUAGCAUAGGCAAAAUCAUCUACACUACACUACAUCUGUACUGUUGCUAAAAUAGUCUCUCAUUUCAGUGGCAAGUCCACGUUUCUGAGAGUGGAGCUGGAUUUGUGAUUCUUGUGCUUCAAAUUACACGGCAAGUUUCAUUUUACAUUGAAAGCAGUGCAACAGGACACGGAAGCUGGGCAAGCAUGGAGGAGUGUAAGCUAGGCUAACUGUUAACCCAUACAAACCAGCAGUUUCAACAAUAAUGCUGCCCAAUGUUGUCUGGACUGCAAAAUGGAUUAUUUCACUCCCCCAUCAGUGCUGGUCACUCGUUGACAUGGAAGAGCUGUCUAGAUCGAACUGAGACAUGUACUUUCUUUAUCCUUUCUGUUGUUGCACUGCUGUGGGCUGGGAGGACCAGCAUUUCUUUUUUU